Molecule: ribosomal RNA, 229 nt
Filed under: uncultured bacterium
Lineage: Bacteria
Description: partial 16S ribosomal RNA
Rfam family: Bacterial small subunit ribosomal RNA
Source: RNAcentral
UGCGCAGGCUGAGAAAUAAGUCAGUGGUGAAAUCCUAUGGCUCAACCAUAGAACUGCCAUUGAAACUAUUUUACUAGAGUGCAGUUGAAGUGGGCGGAAUGUGUCAUGUAGCGGUGAAAUGCAUAGAUAUGACACAGAACACCGAUCGCGAAGGCAGCUCACUAAGCUGUAACUGACGCUCAUGCACGAAAGCGUGGGUAGCGAACAGGAUUAGAUACCCUGGUAGUCC